RNAcentral lists this ribosomal RNA (488 nucleotides) under uncultured anaerobic ammonium-oxidizing bacterium. RNAcentral's name for it is "bacterial SSU rRNA". It matches the Rfam family "Bacterial small subunit ribosomal RNA", at positions 353 to 832 of the family's 1533-position model. The record is from RNAcentral.
AGGUCGACGAUUUUCGCAAUGCCCGAAAGGGUGACGAAGCGACGCCGCGUGGGUGAGGAAGGCCUUCGGGUUGUAAAACCCUGUCAGGAGUUAAGAAAUGUAAGUUUGAGAAUACCAAAUUUACUUGACAAAAGCUCCAAAGGAAGCCACGGCUAACUCUGUGCCAGCAGCCGCGGUAAUACAGAGGUGGCGAGCGUUGUUCGGAAUUAUUGGGCGUAAAGAGCACGUAGGUGGUUUGCAAGUCAGAUGUGAAAGCCUUCUGUUCAACGGAAGAAUUGCAUCUGAAACUGCUAAUCUUGAGUAUAGGAGGGGAGAAUGAAACUUCUGGUGGAGCGGUGAAAUGCGUAGAUAUCAGAAGGAACGCCGGCGGCGAAAGCGAUUCUCUGGCCUAUUACUGACACUCAGUGUGCGAAAGCUAGGGGAGCAAACGGGAUUAGAUACCCCGGUAGUCCUAGCCGUAAACGAUGGGCACUAAGUAGAGGGGUUUU